This 465-nucleotide ribosomal RNA is filed under the name uncultured bacterium. Its description in RNAcentral is "partial 16S ribosomal RNA". It matches the Rfam family "Bacterial small subunit ribosomal RNA", at positions 28 to 507 of the family's 1533-position model. The record is from RNAcentral.
GACGAACGCUGGCGGCGUGCUUAACACAUGCAAGUCGUACGGUAAGGCCCUUUCGGGGGUACACGAGUGGCGAACGGGUGAGUAACACGUGAGUAACCUGCCCACAACUUUGGGAUAACGCUAGGAAACUGGUGCUAAUACUGGAUAUGUGCUCCUGCUGCAUGGUGGGGGUUGGAAAGCUCCGGCGGUUGUGGAUGGACUCGCGGCCUAUCAGCUUGUUGGUGGGGUAGUGGCCUACCAAGGCGGCGACGGGUAGCCGGCCUGAGAGGGUGACCGGCCACAUUGGGACUGAGAUACGGCCCAGACUCCGACGGGAGGCAGCAGUGGGGAAUAUUGCACAAUGGGCGCAAGCCUGAUGCAGCAACGCCGCGGGCGGGAUGACGGCCUUCGGGUUGUAAGCCGCUUUCAGCAGGGACGAAGCUUUUUGUGACGGUACCUGCAGAAGAAGCACCGGCUAACUACGUG